This 452-nucleotide non-coding RNA is filed under the name Metschnikowia bicuspidata var. bicuspidata NRRL YB-4993. RNAcentral describes it as "Eukaryotic large subunit ribosomal RNA". It matches the Rfam family "Eukaryotic large subunit ribosomal RNA", at positions 1891 to 2388 of the family's 3401-position model. The record is from Rfam by way of RNAcentral. Lineage: Eukaryota; Fungi; Ascomycota; Pichiomycetes; Serinales; Metschnikowiaceae.
UAGAAUAAUUUAGACAAAGUGAGUCGGCAAAAUAGAUUUGUGACGUUUGUCGAUCCAGAAGAUGAGGCUAAAUAAGAAGGGGGAAGAAUUCGUUCAGAGAUAGCUUACUUGGGAAAGGCCCAUCUCUAGUCUGUUUCUACCUCUGCUCACCCCCAUUACCCACCCUCACUAACAAUAAUCUUGAGACUGGUACGUACAAGAGGAAUCAAUUAAAAAAUAGCAUUGCAAUGGUCAGUAAAUGAUGUUGACUCAAUAUUAUUUCUGCCGAGUGCUCUGAAUGUCAAAGUGAAAAAGCUUAACCAAGCGCAGGUAAUCGGCGGGAGUAACUGUGACUUUCUUAGGGUAGCCAAAUGUCUCGUCAUCCAAUUAGUGACGCGCAUGAAUGGAUUGACGAGAUUCUCACUGUCCCUAUCUACUAUCUAGCGAAACCACAGCCAAGGGAACGGGCUUGG